This 606-nucleotide ribosomal RNA is filed under the name Hanseniaspora uvarum. Its description in RNAcentral is "eukaryotic LSU rRNA". It matches the Rfam family "Eukaryotic large subunit ribosomal RNA", at positions 36 to 656 of the family's 3401-position model. The record is from RNAcentral. Lineage: Eukaryota; Fungi; Ascomycota; Saccharomycetes; Saccharomycodales; Saccharomycodaceae.
UUGCAUAUCAUUAAGCGGAGGAAAAGAAACCAACUGGGAUUACCUUAGUAACGGCGAGUGAAGCGGUAAAAGCUCAAAUUUGAAAUCUGGUACUUUCAGUGCCCGAGUUGUAAUUUGUAGAAUUUGUCUUUGAUUAGGUCCUUGUCUAUGUUCCUUGGAACAGGACGUCAUAGAGGGUGAGAAUCCCGUUUGGCGAGGAUACCUUUUCUCUGUAAGACUUUUUCGAAGAGUCGAGUUGUUUGGGAAUGCAGCUCAAAGUGGGUGGUAAAUUCCAUCUAAAGCUAAAUAUUGGCGAGAGACCGAUAGCGAACAAGUACAGUGAUGGAAAGAUGAAAAGAACUUUGAAAAGAGAGUGAAAAAGUACGUGAAAUUGUUGAAAGGGAAGGGCAUUUGAUCAGACAUGGUGUUUUUUGCAUGCACUCGCCUCUCGUGGGCUUGGGCCUCUCAAAAAUUUCACUGGGCCAACAUCAAUUCUGGCAGCAGGAUAAAUCAUUAAGAAUGUAGCUACUUCGGUAGUGUUAUAGCUUUUUGGAAUACUGUUAGCCGGGAUUGAGGACUGCGCUUCGGCAAGGAUGUUGGCAUAAUGGUUAAAUGCCGCCCGUCUGA